AUGCGCAACACGGCAAGAAACAUCCAAACAUUAGUGGGGCGAUACAUCCAAUUUCACAGAUUUACACAAAGUAUUGGAAUCUUGGUGCCCCAGAACAAGAAAAUCCAGAGUGCUGAAACAGGGAUCAGUCAGUGAACGUUUCAACGUGAAAUCUGAAAGUGGUGACAAGUUGAUCUCACCAUUAAAUUUGGGUAUUUUAAUUCCAUAAUUCCAUAAAAUAAUUCCUAUAUUAAAGGGCAGUGAGCAUGU
RNAcentral lists this long non-coding RNA (249 nucleotides) under Oncorhynchus kisutch (coho salmon). Its description in RNAcentral is "lncRNA (ENSOKIG00005011366.1)". The record is from RNAcentral. Lineage: Eukaryota; Metazoa; Chordata; Actinopteri; Salmoniformes; Salmonidae.